RNAcentral lists this long non-coding RNA (900 nucleotides) under Homo sapiens (human). RNAcentral's name for it is "HSALNT0062245". The record is from RNAcentral. Lineage: Eukaryota; Metazoa; Chordata; Mammalia; Primates; Hominidae.
UUUUUCCUAAUAGGUGAAAUUUAGCUGUCUUUCGGACAGUGGAUAUGGAAAUAUCAUUUAUGAUUAUUUCAGAUGGGAGAUAUUCUUGGUCCUGGUGAAUUCCAUAGCAGGAAUUUAAAACAGGACUCUUUGUUGUGUCUGCUUGGAUCACUUACAGCCCUUGGUACCUGCCUCUUUGGAAGGCACCUCCGGUCACAUCAGGAGCAUGGAUGGGGCCCCACCUGCAUACACAUGGAGAUGGACUCAUCCUCCAGCUACUUUGGAUACCGUGGCUCCCAUUUUUCUACUUUCUCUGAAGGAUUGAAGCCACCUUGCCCAGAAGUCACUGGGAGUUAUGCCUCCUCCCUAAGGAUGGCCCACAGCCAGUGCCUCAUUGGAGCAAGAGGUACAGAAGCCCUGCUCCCUCAUCUGAAGAUGGGGCAGGCUCCGCAGUGCAAUCCAUGCACCCGAGCUCCCAUGGCAUCAGACUGACAUUGCUGGAAGCCACAGUCUUCCUCAGCUUCUCCUUCCCUGUCCUGCUUCCCUCACUCCCUUAUGGUUUUCUCCUGAGGGCACUCCCUUAAUAAAUCACUUCCUUGCCCCUGGUGCUUUCCUGUGGCCAGUGAGAAGCAUCAGCAAGAAACUGGGAAGGGGCUAGAGAGCAGAAGAGGACUGAAGCAGCCCCUGAUUCCUAAAUCGAGACUAUGAAACUUCUGUGGCUGCCACCUCAGCCUCAGCCUACUCUGCAUUGGUUCUGAGGAGCACUCUGUAGAGUUGGAAAUAAUUUCCCAGAGGGUCUAGAACACAUUUAAGGAUGCUGGGCAAAAAUAUUCAUUGAAUCAUAAUACUUAUGUGGCUCCCAAAAGCAGGAGACACCAACCUCACACCAUCAACAGCAAUGGCAUUUCUGUGUUAUUUGUC